Molecule: ribosomal RNA, 569 nt
Filed under: Pantoea agglomerans
Lineage: Bacteria; Pseudomonadati; Pseudomonadota; Gammaproteobacteria; Enterobacterales; Erwiniaceae
Description: bacterial SSU rRNA
Rfam family: Bacterial small subunit ribosomal RNA
Source: RNAcentral
UGGAGGUUGUUCCCUUGAGGAGUGGCUUCCGGAGCUAACGCGUUAAGUCGACCGCCUGGGGAGUACGGCCGCAAGGUUAAAACUCAAAUGAAUUGACGGGGGCCCGCACAAGCGGUGGAGCAUGUGGUUUAAUUCGAUGCAACGCGAAGAACCUUACCUACUCUUGACAUCCANNGAANUUAGCAGAGAUGCUUUGGUGCCUUCGGGAACNNUGAGACAGGUGCUGCAUGGCUGUCGUCAGCUCGUGUUGUGAAAUGUUGGGUUAAGUCCCGCAACGAGCGCAACCCUUAUCCUUUGUUGCCAGCGAUUCGGUCGGGAACUCAAAGGAGACUGCCGGUGAUAAACCGGAGGAAGGUGGGGAUGACGUCAAGUCAUCAUGGCCCUUACGAGUAGGGCUACACACGUGCUACAAUGGCGCAUACAAAGAGAAGCGACCUCGCGAGAGCAAGCGGACCUCACAAAGUGCGUCGUAGUCCGGAUCGGAGUCNAAAACUCGACUCCGUGAAGUCGGAAUCGCUAGUAAUCGUGGAUCAGAAUGCCACGGUGAAUACGUUCCCGGGCCUUGUACA